Molecule: ribosomal RNA, 773 nt
Filed under: uncultured Rhodocyclaceae bacterium
Lineage: Bacteria; Pseudomonadati; Pseudomonadota; Betaproteobacteria; Rhodocyclales; Rhodocyclaceae
Description: bacterial SSU rRNA
Rfam family: Bacterial small subunit ribosomal RNA
Source: RNAcentral
UACAGUUUGAUCAUGGCUCAGAUUGAACGCUGGCGGCAUGCCUUACACAUGCAAGUCGAACGGCAGCGGACCUUCGGGNNNCGGCGAGUGGCGAACGGGUGAGUAAAGUAUCGGAACGUACCUUUCAGUGGGGGAUAACGUAGCGAAAGUUACGCUAAUACCGCAUAUUCUGUGAGCAGGAAAGCAGGGGAUCGCAAGACCUUGCGCUGAUUGAGCGGCCGAUAUCAGAUUAGCUAGUUGGUGGGGUAAAGGCCUACCAAGGCGACGAUCUGUAGCGGGUCUGAGAGGAUGAUCCGCCACACUGGGACUGAGACACGGCUCAGACUCCUACGGGAGGCAGCAGUGGGGAAUUUUGGACAAUGGGCGCAAGCCUGAUCCAGCCAUGCCGCGUGAGUGAAGAAGGCCUUCGGGUUGUAAAGCUCUUUCGGCCGGGAAGAAAUCGCAUGGGCUAAUACCCUGUGUGGAUGACGGUACCGGAAUAAGAAGCACCGGCUAACUACGUGCCAGCAGCCGCGGUAAUACGUAGGGUGCGAGCGUUAAUCGGAAUUACUGGGCGUAAAGCGUGCGCAGGCGGUUUUUUAAGAUAGGCGUGAAAUCCCCGGGCUCAACCUGGGAACUGCGCUUAUGACUGGAAGACUAGAGUAUGGCAGAGGGGGGUGGAAUUCCACGUGUAGCAGUGAAAUGCGUAGAGAUGUGGAGGAACACCGAUGGCGAAGGCAGCCCCCUGGGCCAAUACUGACGCUCAUGCACGAAAGCGUGGGGAGCAAACAGGA